AUCCAGAUGAUGAGUCCCAAAUAGGACGAAACUUCCAUCCUGGAU
RNAcentral lists this non-coding RNA (45 nucleotides) under Trichobilharzia regenti. Lineage: Eukaryota; Metazoa; Platyhelminthes; Trematoda; Strigeidida; Schistosomatidae. The record is from RNAcentral.